AGGGAACCGCUCUCCCAGUGUGAAAAAUCUGUUACAUGGAUUACAUAGUUGAAGUCCAAUGUUUGCUUUUGAGCAAGAAUAGAAAAAAUGAGGUAUUAGAUAUAUAUGGCUUGAAUUCUCCCAGGCACAGACAAAGGAUGAUGAGAAGAAAAAGAGAAAAAUUAAAAGAAAAUGCUACGGUUCUCUACUGUAAAAUCCUAGGCAAAGGAGGAAGAAACUCAUAUUCAUGUAACUGAAGACUUUGUGGCAAUGUUUUAACUUUUAACAAGGUCACCGAGGGUGCAGUGAAGUGCCCAGAUCACUGGACCCAGUGUUGUAACAGCAAACCUUGUAACUGAUCCUGGCAGAAUGGAAGGAUGAGCCCAGAAGAUCAGAGCAAACACACAGAGUCCCUUGGCAACACCCACGAGCUGAAAGCUGACCUGCAAACAGUGAAAUGUGGUAUAUCUGUAACAGCUUUUCUAUAUCCUACAUCUAGAAAUGAUCUAAACAAAUGAGGAGAGAACAGAAGUACAGAAAUGUCUAAACAGAAAAAAACCCUAAAAAAUCACAAAAAGC
Molecule: long non-coding RNA, 558 nt
Organism: Pipra filicauda (Wire-tailed manakin)
Lineage: Eukaryota; Metazoa; Chordata; Aves; Passeriformes; Pipridae
Exons: 3
Source: RefSeq, a predicted model, not a curated record